GGCUGGGUAGCUCAGUGGUUAGAGCACCUGGUAUAUGAUGGGGGCCUGGUUUCAAAUCCUAGUCUGGUCU
Non-coding RNA from Russula emetica, 70 nucleotides. NCBI's taxonomy places the organism in Eukaryota, Fungi, Basidiomycota, Agaricomycetes, Russulales, Russulaceae. The record is from the annotation of a GenBank genome assembly.